Molecule: ribosomal RNA, 301 nt
Filed under: uncultured bacterium
Lineage: Bacteria
Description: partial 16S ribosomal RNA
Rfam family: Bacterial small subunit ribosomal RNA
Source: RNAcentral
CAGCCGCCGCGGGAAUACGAAGGGUGCAAGCGUUACUCGGAAUUACUGGGCGUAAAGCGUGCGUAGGUGGUGGUUUAAGUCCGUUGUGAAAGCCCUGGGCUCAACCUGGGAAUUGCAGUGGAUACUGGGUCACUAGAGUGUGGGAGAGGAUGGUGGAAUUCCCGGUGUAGCGGUGAAAUGCGUAGAGAUCGGGAGGAACAUCAGUGGCGAAGGCGGCCAUCUGGGACAACACUGACGCUGAAGCACGAAAGCGUGGGGAGCAAACAGGAUUAGAUACCCCCGUAGUCCCUGUCUCUUAUAC